This 253-nucleotide ribosomal RNA is filed under the name uncultured bacterium. RNAcentral's name for it is "partial 16S ribosomal RNA". It matches the Rfam family "Bacterial small subunit ribosomal RNA", at positions 524 to 776 of the family's 1533-position model. The record is from RNAcentral.
UACGUAGGGAGCAAGCGUUGUCCGGAAUCAUUGGGCGUAAAGCGCGUGUAGGCGGCCCGGUAAGUCCGCUGUGAAAGUCCAGGGCUCAACCCUGGGAUGCCGGUGGAUACUGUCGGGCUCGAGUCCGGAAGAGGAGUGUGGAAUUCCUGGUGUAGCGGUGAAAUGCGCAGAUAUCAGGAGGAACACCAAUGGCGAAGGCAGCACUCUGGGACGUGACUGACGCUGAGACGCGAAAGCGUGGGGAGCAAACAGG